GUCCGCAUGGUGUAAUGGUAACAGCCCUUCGGUUCCUGAGGAGGUGGCGUGGGUUCGAUUCCCACUGUAGACA
Molecule: non-coding RNA, 73 nt
Organism: Mycena alexandri
Lineage: Eukaryota; Fungi; Basidiomycota; Agaricomycetes; Agaricales; Mycenaceae
Source: the annotation of a GenBank genome assembly